This 217-nucleotide long non-coding RNA is filed under the name Elaeis guineensis (African oil palm). Its description in RNAcentral is "long non-coding RNA (EGUI_LNC032610)". Lineage: Eukaryota; Viridiplantae; Streptophyta; Magnoliopsida; Arecales; Arecaceae. The record is from RNAcentral.
GGCGAGCGUGCACAUCGGCACAGGAAGGAAGGAGGAGAAGAGAGGAAGGGGAGGAGGCUUACCUCCGACGCCAACGAGAUUUUUUCGACGAGCAAAUUGGAUGGGCACAGGUCGGUCUUCCGCGGAAAUUUUUCGGCGAUUGUCACCGACUGGGCUUAGAAUCCUCGGUGAAAGGAAGAGAGGAGGGAUCUCCUCCUUAAAUAGAGCCGGAGGGAGC